RNAcentral lists this long non-coding RNA (201 nucleotides) under Mytilus galloprovincialis (Mediterranean mussel). The record is from RNAcentral. Lineage: Eukaryota; Metazoa; Mollusca; Bivalvia; Mytilida; Mytilidae.
AUUUAUUGACUAAUAUCACGAUAAAUUAUAGCUAAUACAUUGACUAGAUAGGAUAUAAGCCAUUUUGUUGAAAAUUUUACAUUUCUGCGUUUCAUUAUGACGUCACAAGUUUUACUCAUAUUGAUUUUUCACGAAAAAAUCAAUGAAAAUGGGUAAAUUUCCAAAGAUUAUUUGACAGGAAACAUAGAGCGCAUACGUCGA